Molecule: ribosomal RNA, 593 nt
Filed under: uncultured bacterium
Lineage: Bacteria
Description: bacterial SSU rRNA
Rfam family: Bacterial small subunit ribosomal RNA
Source: RNAcentral
CCUACGGGAGGCAGCAGUGGGGAAUAUUGGACAAUGGGCGAAAGCCUGAUCCAGCAAUGCCGCGUGAGUGAUGAAGGCCUUCGGGUCGUAAAGCUCUUUUACCAGGGAUGAUAAUGACAGCACCUGGAGAAUAAGCUCCGGCUAACUCCGUGCCAGCAGCCGCGGUAAUACGGAGGGAGCUAGCGUUGUUCGGAAUUACUGGGCGUAAAGAGUACGUAGGCGGUUAUUCAAGUCAGAGGUGAAAGCCCGGGGCUCAACCCCGGAACUGCCUUUGAAACUAGAUAGCUAGAGUCUUGGAGAGGUUAGUGGAAUUCCGAGUGUAGAGGUGAAAUCCGUAGAUAUUCGGAAGAACACCAGUGGCGAAGGCGACUAACUGGACAAGUACUGACGCUGAGGUACGAAAGCGUGGGGAGCAAACAGGAUUAGAUACCCUGGUAGUCCACGCCGUAAACGAUGAUAACUAGUUGUUCGGUCACUUGGUGACUGAGUGACGCAGCUAACGCAUUAAGUUAUCCGCCUGGGGAUACGGUCGCAAGNUUAAAACCUUAAAGGAAUUGACGGCUGAGACGUUGCGAGACGACGACGAGGAGAGG